This 321-nucleotide ribosomal RNA is filed under the name Triticum aestivum (bread wheat). RNAcentral's name for it is "partial small subunit ribosomal RNA". Lineage: Eukaryota; Viridiplantae; Streptophyta; Magnoliopsida; Poales; Poaceae. The record is from RNAcentral.
UUAGGGGAUUUUAAUGAAAUUUUACUCCCUUCGGAAAAAGAGGGCGGAAAUGUGAGACCAAAUACUAUGAUGAGAGACUUCCGCAAUUCUUUAGCAGAGUGUGGCCUCGAGGAUAUGGGUUGUAUUGGUGACCCUUUCACUAGGAGGAUAGGUGAUACUAGAGAGAGACUUGACCGUGCGGUAUGCAAUGUGGAAUGGGUGAACAAAUUCCCGCGGGCCACGAUUAUCAAUGAGGAACAUGUUCAUUCUGAUCAUCGUCCACUCAUACUGGAUACAGAUUAUUUUGACGGAAAUAUUUUUAAUGCCCCAAGGGAUGAGUAA